UUAAGUUCAGCGGGUAGUCCUACCUGAUUUGAGGUCAAGUUUGUCAAAGAGCAUAGGGCGGUUGGAAGCAGCACAUUUUUACGCGGCAUACCCAAAGGCAUAGAUGAAUGUUAUCAACACCUAGCGGUUUCCGCUCCAGAUACCACUGAUGAUUUUCAAGGGAGCAGGCUUUCUGAUCAAAAGCCUGCAAAAGCCCUCAA
This 200-nucleotide unclassified non-coding RNA is filed under the name Inocybe sp. RNAcentral describes it as "partial internal transcribed spacer 2". The record is from RNAcentral. Lineage: Eukaryota; Fungi; Basidiomycota; Agaricomycetes; Agaricales; Inocybaceae.